CGGCAGGCCUAACACAUGCAAGUCGAGCGGAAACGAUCCUAGCUUGCUAGGAGGCGUCGAGCGGCGGACGGGUGAGUAACACGUGAGAAUCUGCCCAUUAGUGGGGGAUAACCUGGGGAAACCCAGGCUAAUACCGCAUAAUCUCUACGGAGGAAAGCAGGGGAUCUUCGGACCUUGUGCUGAUGGAUGAGCUCGCGUCGGAUUAGCUUGUUGGUGAGGUAAUGGCUCACCAAGGCGACGAUCCGUAGCUGGUCUUAGAGGAUGAUCAGCCACACCGGGACUGAGACACGGCCCGGACUCCUACGGGAGGCAGCAGUGGGGAAUCUUGGACAAUGGGGGCAACCCUGAUCCAGCCAUGCCGCGUGUGUGAAGAAGGCCUUCGGGUUGUAAAGCACUUUCAGUAGGGAGGAAGGCUUAUCCUUAAUACGGGUGAGUACUUGACGUUACCUACAGAAGAAGCACCGGC
This 466-nucleotide ribosomal RNA is filed under the name uncultured Gammaproteobacteria bacterium. Its description in RNAcentral is "bacterial SSU rRNA". It matches the Rfam family "Bacterial small subunit ribosomal RNA", at positions 40 to 497 of the family's 1533-position model. Lineage: Bacteria; Pseudomonadati; Pseudomonadota; Gammaproteobacteria. The record is from RNAcentral.